Molecule: ribosomal RNA, 377 nt
Filed under: uncultured bacterium
Lineage: Bacteria
Description: bacterial SSU rRNA
Rfam family: Bacterial small subunit ribosomal RNA
Source: RNAcentral
AUACGGAGGGUGCAAGCGUUGUUCGGAAUUACUGGGCGUAAAGCGCGUGUAGGCGGCCUUGCAAGUCAGAUGUGAAAGCCCUCGGCUUAACCGGGGAAGUGCAUCUGAAACUGCUUGGCUUGAGUACGGGAGAGGGAGGCGGAAUUCCCAGUGUAGAGGUGAAAUUCGUAGAUAUUGGGAGGAACACCGGUGGCGAAAGCGGCCUCCUGGACCGAUACUGACGCUGAGACGCGAGAGCGUGGGGAGCAAACAGGAUUAGAUACCCUGGUAGUCCACGCUGUAAACGAUGGGCACUAGGUGUGGGGGGUAUCCACUCCUCCCGUGCCGAAGCUAACGCAUUAGGUGCCCCGCCUGGGGAGUACGGCCGCAAGGUUAAA